AGGAGGGGCCGUCAGGCGGGGAUACAGCCUGGAAGGUGCGUGUGGGGCUGGGUCUCGGAGUGGGAGACGUGGAGUGCAGGUAAUGCAUGUCCAUGGUACACAAAUUCACAAGGUUUGUAAAUGAGAAAAGACGUGAGGUUCCUUUUGUUCUUUACCUGUGGCCUCCCUGCCCUACACGGGGACUCUAGGGUGGAAUGUAGCAAAGCCCAUCCACCAGCCAUGUACUACCCCCCAACCCGGCCAGGCUGGAGCGACCGUGUCUGGGGAGCCGAGCCCCGCUUCUCGCUGCGGUGAGCCCGGACUGGGGCACGCACUGCGCAGACUCCCCGCUGCAGUGGGCGGAGCUCCCACAGGCCCCGCCCCCUCCUCCCACCCUCGUUCAGCCUGUCCAGACAGAAGCUGGGGCCCACCGGAGGUAGCUGCAGACGCCUGAGAGCGAGGCCGAGGCCCCUCAGGGUUUGGAGACCCUGACACACCCACCUUCUCACCUGGGCUCUGCGUAU
This 503-nucleotide long non-coding RNA is filed under the name Homo sapiens (human). RNAcentral's name for it is "non-protein coding lnc-SPTBN4-1:4". The record is from RNAcentral. Lineage: Eukaryota; Metazoa; Chordata; Mammalia; Primates; Hominidae.